Molecule: ribosomal RNA, 253 nt
Filed under: uncultured bacterium
Lineage: Bacteria
Description: partial 16S ribosomal RNA
Rfam family: Bacterial small subunit ribosomal RNA
Source: RNAcentral
UACGUAGGCAGCGAGCGUUGUUCGGAGUUACUGGGCGUAAAGAGUGCGUAGGCGGUGCGGUAAGUCUGGUGUGAAAUCUCCCGGCUCAACUGGGAGGGUGCGCUAGAAACUGCCGUGCUUGAGUGUGGGAGAGGUAAGCGGAAUUCCUGGUGUAGCGGUGAAAUGCGUAGAUAUCAGGAGGAACACCUGCGGUGUAGACAGCUUACUGGACCAUAACUGACGCUGAGGCACGAAAGCGUGGGGAGCGAACAGG